Molecule: non-coding RNA, 980 nt
Organism: Pelodiscus sinensis (Chinese soft-shelled turtle)
Lineage: Eukaryota; Metazoa; Chordata; Testudines; Trionychidae
Source: RefSeq, a predicted model, not a curated record
AUUUUAAAAGAGCAGACUACUGCUGGAAAUAGGCAAUAGCCACAUGAGAACAAAAGUUAUCUAAUGCUGUGAAACACACUAAAUCCAAAUGAGAGAAUAAUUGGAAAGAUGGAGCAGAGAUACAACAUCUGUCAACUAUUUCCUACAUCUGGUCUGCUGAUAUAAUAAUUGGCUCUACAGAUUUACCGUAAUUGUGUGUUCAGCUUUAAAAAGAAUGAUGGUACCCGACUUCUGGGACUGGCCAGACUGCUCUGGAGUCAAAAAGAAGUCUUCACGCUCCAUUCCACUGGACAAGCCUGUCACCUGUCCAAUUUCCUCCUCCAACUUGCCCUCCUUGUUCUCCUCUUUAUCCUGGGGAUUGACUCCACUGGCUAUGUCCUCCAAUCCCCUUGAAAUAUCUGUGAGGUUCUUGGUGAUGGAGGUGAAGUUGUAACAGACGAUGGCAUGCCCCUCGCUGUAGAGUGGCAUGCUUUUUGCUUCACAGCAGAGCAACAGCUGGCCUCCCUUGACUUCUGGUGUGUCUCCCUCUGCUCCUUGAUCUUAGCAUGGCACUGACAUGUGUCCCUUUUGUGAACCUUCUCGUCCAUGCCAUGAACAAUCUUCUCAUAGGUGUCAAAGUUCCUAUGGUUGGACUGGAAUUGUGGUUCUCCUUUCUCCACAAACCCAGCAGAUGCAGCAGCUAUGGUGUACUCCACGCAGGAGCCCCUUUCCUGUGGAAAGCUGGUAUGCUCAGCUGGGAAGAUACAAUAUAAGCUGUCCACACCAAGCAAACAGGAAGUGGAAUUUAAAAAGUUUCCAGGGAUUUAAAAGGGGAGGUGUGCAUGCCAGUGUACCUGGUUGCAGUGUAAUGGAAUAGAAACACCCUAUCACUGUGUCCAUGAUGGUCAUUAUGGAAAAUGUCCUAGAAGCCACUUAAGCAAGUGUCUACAUUGCUCUAACUUUGUCACAAAAUUAUCUAUGCCAUGUGUUGAUUAGUUUUA